This 71-nucleotide small nucleolar RNA is filed under the name Otus sunia (Oriental scops-owl). Its description in RNAcentral is "Small nucleolar RNA SNORD73 (ENSOSUG00000005215.1)". It matches the Rfam family "Small nucleolar RNA SNORD73". Rfam says of the family: U73 is a member of the C/D class of snoRNA which contain the C (UGAUGA) and D (CUGA) box motifs. U73 is encoded within the introns of ribosomal protein S3a and contains a 12nt region of complementarity to a conserved sequence in 28S ribosomal RNA. U73 is therefore thought to function as a 2'-O-ribose methylation guide for pre-rRNA. Lineage: Eukaryota; Metazoa; Chordata; Aves; Strigiformes; Strigidae. The record is from Rfam by way of RNAcentral.
AAUGAAUGAUGACAAAAUGUUUCGGUCCCAGAUGACAUAGAAUGAUUCUACUUUUCCCCCUUUCUGACAUU